RNAcentral lists this transfer RNA (68 nucleotides) under Bramus lutescens (Transcaucasian mole vole). RNAcentral's name for it is "tRNA-Pro". It matches the Rfam family "tRNA". From Rfam's summary of the family: Transfer RNA (tRNA) molecules are approximately 80 nucleotides in length. Lineage: Eukaryota; Metazoa; Chordata; Mammalia; Rodentia; Cricetidae. The record is from RNAcentral.
CAAGAAGUAGUUUAACUAGAACGCCAGCUUUGGGUGUUGGUGAUGGGGGAAUAGUCCUUCCUUCUUGA